Molecule: non-coding RNA, 246 nt
Organism: Paramuricea clavata
Lineage: Eukaryota; Metazoa; Cnidaria; Anthozoa; Malacalcyonacea; Plexauridae
Source: the annotation of a GenBank genome assembly
UGUGUUGCAGCUAACUGUACCAAUAAAGCAUGUUUAAAAGAUGGAAUAAGUCUACACAAUAUUCCAUACUUCAAUGACGAACACGCGGAAGCUAAAAGACGAAGAAAAGUAUGGGUUGAUUUUGUACGCGCAAAGCGUUUGUUUGUGCCGUCAAAGACUUCGACUAUAUGCUCGGAUCAUUGUGGAACAGAGGAUUACGAGAGGCAAUUUUUUUCGUUGCCGGGGCUCGGCAAGCCUAACUAUCUG